RNAcentral lists this ribosomal RNA (426 nucleotides) under uncultured bacterium. Its description in RNAcentral is "bacterial SSU rRNA". It matches the Rfam family "Bacterial small subunit ribosomal RNA", at positions 29 to 461 of the family's 1533-position model. The record is from RNAcentral.
AGCGAACGUUUGCGGCGGGCCUAACACAUGCAAGUCGAACGCACUAGCAAUAGUGAGUGGCGCACGGGUGCGUAACACGUGGGUAAUCAACCCUUCAGCUUGGGAUAACGACUUGAAAGGGUCGCUAAUACCGGAUACGGCGCGGGAGGCUUCGGCUUCUCACGAGAAAGCCUCGCAAGGGGCACUGAAGGACGAGCCUGCGGCCCAUCAGCUAGUUGGUGAGGUAAGAGCUCACCAAGGCGAAGACGGGUAGCUGGUCUGAGAGGAUGAUCAGCCACACUGGAACUGAGACACGGUCCAGACUCCUACGGGAGGCAGCAGUGGGGAAUAUUGCGCAAUGGGCGAAAGCCUGACGCAGCCACGCCGCGUGAGCGAUGAAGGCCUCGGUCGUAAGACUCUGUGGGAGGAGACGAAGAAAGACCGUCG